UUAUCUAUAUUUAGUGUAAUAAUGUAGCUUAUUUAUGAAUUUUAAGUGUAAAAAAUUAUUAAAUUAAUAUUUAUCUUUGAAAUGAAUUAUGUAAUGUGUUAUUUUUGAAAUUCAUUUUAUAAAUUAUAGAGUUUGGAGGGUACUAAUUUUUAUUAAAAGAUUUCAAAUAAAUUUAUUUUAGAGAAAGAAAGAUAGAAUUGAAAAAACAUAUAUAUAUUAUAAUAAAGACCUUUUAUUAACAAAUUUCGGAGUAGCUAGUGGUAAGCAUGCAUUAUUGAUUGGUGGAGGUCCAAGUUCGAGCCUUGACAAAGGCAAUAAAAUUUUUUCACCAAAAACGGGCCGGGAACGGUCCGUGGACAAACCCGGCCGGGUUUCCCGGUUAGCCCGGUCCGAUCGCCGGGCCGUUGACUAGUCAACGGUUCCGUAGCCCAAACGAUCUAAUUUAAGACUCGGCCCGGCCCAAUGGCCGGUUCACCGGUUUGACCGGUUCGACCGCCGGGCCGGGCCGGGUUUUAUAACUAUG
Molecule: long non-coding RNA, 523 nt
Filed under: Coffea arabica (coffee)
Lineage: Eukaryota; Viridiplantae; Streptophyta; Magnoliopsida; Gentianales; Rubiaceae
Description: long non-coding RNA (CARA_LNC003377)
Source: RNAcentral